UACGAAGGGUGCUAGCGUUGCUCGGAAUCACUGGGCGUAAAGCGCACGUAGGCGGUUUGCUAAGUCAGGGGUGAAAUCCUGGAGCUCAACUCCAGAACUGCCUUUGAUACUGGCGAUCUUGAGUCCGGGAGAGGUGAGUGGAACUGCGAGUGUAGAGGUGAAAUUCGUAGAUAUUCGCAAGAACAUCAGUGGCGAAGGCGGCUCACUGGCCCGGUACUGACGCUGAGGUGCGAAAGCGUGGGGAGCAAACAGG
This 253-nucleotide ribosomal RNA is filed under the name uncultured bacterium. RNAcentral's name for it is "partial 16S ribosomal RNA". It matches the Rfam family "Bacterial small subunit ribosomal RNA", at positions 524 to 776 of the family's 1533-position model. The record is from RNAcentral.